GGGGCCGAUUUGGAUUCGACGCCGGUGAUGAAACUUUAGGUGCAUGCCGAGUUGGUAACAGAACUCGUAAAUCCACUGUUGCAACUUUCUAUAGUUGCCAAUGACGAAACCUACGGGGAAUACGCUCUCGCCGCGUAAGCGGUGCUAGCCUUCCUUCUGGUAGCUUCGGCUCCAGCAAUCAUCAGGGGAUGCCUGUAAACCCGAAAUGAUUGUCAUAUAGAACAGGAUCGUGUCCUAGUACGUUGUGGACGAAGCGACUAAAACUUACACAACGCG
RNAcentral lists this transfer-messenger RNA (276 nucleotides) under Pseudomonas syringae. RNAcentral describes it as "partial transfer-messenger RNA". It matches the Rfam family "transfer-messenger RNA", at positions 1 to 253 of the family's 374-position model. From Rfam's summary of the family: Bacterial tmRNA, also known as 10Sa RNA or SsrA, is named for its dual tRNA and mRNA-like properties. The record is from RNAcentral. Lineage: Bacteria; Pseudomonadati; Pseudomonadota; Gammaproteobacteria; Pseudomonadales; Pseudomonadaceae.